GAGGGGUUGCUCAAAUUGCAAAAACAAAUUUGACAACAAUAACAUCACUUUUUUACGUUUCUCUGUCAAGCAUGUUUAAAUCUUACAAACAUCGCUUGAUUGUGGCCGAUGUGAGACCUGCAUGUUUUAAUCAGACUGAGGAAACAUGACUUUAUUAUAAUCUCUGGUGAGGCUCCUCCCUCUGGAAUUCUCCUCCCCAAAACUUUUGGAGGGAAAAUUCAAAUGUAACAGGACACAGGACAGUUAGAUGAGCAGAGACACACAGUGUGGAGCAGGAGGAUUAUGAGAGCUGAUCUGGAGAGUCGUCUACAAAGAGUGACAUCCAGAGCUCUGCUGGAGCUGUGGGGAAGUUCAUGAAUGUUAUAGUUGAUGUUUCAGAAAAAAGGAAGAUGUUUGAGAACCAACAAAACACAGACCACAGAUGAACAAAGUGAUGUGGCAUUAGGAGACUUUAUACCAGAUGCCCUCCCUGUUACUGUGUUUAGAGGAACAAAAGCAGCAC
Molecule: long non-coding RNA, 502 nt
Organism: Boleophthalmus pectinirostris (great blue-spotted mudskipper)
Lineage: Eukaryota; Metazoa; Chordata; Actinopteri; Gobiiformes; Gobiidae
Exons: 3
Source: RefSeq, a predicted model, not a curated record